UGGAUCAUGAAGUACCAGUAUCUAUUCAACAAGCUCCAGUGUCUGAUUAUGAAGUUCCUGUCUCCUCUAAUCCUAGCUACUCUGAUCAUGUACCUCUCUCUACUAAUAAUAAUCAACUAUUAGCUACACUAGUCACUACUAAUCCUUCCUAUCAAUCAGUGACUACUCCUUCAGUAAAAUUGGAGAGUGAAUAUUAUGAUACUUUUGAUGCAAAUAAGAUUUGUACAAAAAGCAACACCUCAUAUCUACCAGUUGAUCUAAAAACUACAACUACUACAGUGAGUCCUUCAGUUCAUAUUAAAA
Long non-coding RNA from Amphimedon queenslandica, 303 nucleotides. RefSeq lists it as uncharacterized. The record is from RefSeq and is a predicted model, not a curated record. The transcript is spliced from 3 exons. Lineage: Eukaryota; Metazoa; Porifera; Demospongiae; Haplosclerida; Niphatidae.